This 1254-nucleotide long non-coding RNA is filed under the name Coturnix japonica (Japanese quail). Its description in RNAcentral is "lncRNA (ENSCJPG00005001564.1)". Lineage: Eukaryota; Metazoa; Chordata; Aves; Galliformes; Phasianidae. The record is from RNAcentral.
GUUUUGGGGUGCGAUUUAUGGGCCAAUUUGGGUUGGAGUUCUUCGGGUCAGGUUCUGGUCCAUUUACUGUCUGGGUUUAUUGGUGGUUCCGGAUGGUGUCGCGGAUCCAUGUUCGGGUCCAUUUCAGCUCCAAUUUCAGCUCCAAUUUCGGGUCAUUUUGGGUCCAGUUUUGGGUUGAUUUGUGUCCAUUUCGGGUUGAGUUUUCGGGUCAGGUUCUGGUCCAUUUACUGUCUGGAUUUAUCGGUGGUUCCGGAUGGUGUCGCGGAUCCAUGUUCGGGUCCAUUUCAGCUCCAAUUUCGGGUCAUUUUGGGUCCAUUUCAGCUCCAAUUUUGGGUCAUUUUGGGUCCAGUUUUGGCUCCAAUUUCAGCUCCAAUUUCGGGUCCAUUUCAGCUCCAAUUUCGGGUCAUUUUGGGUCCAUUUCAGCUCCAAUUUCGGGUCAUUUUGGGUCCAGUUUUGGGUCGAUUUAUGCCCAUUUUGGGUUGAGUUUUCGGGUCAGGUUCUGGUCCAUUUGGUAUCUGGGUUUAUCGGUGGUUCCGGAUGGUGUCGCGGAUCCAUGUUCGGGUCCAUUUCAGCUCCAAUUCCGGGUCGUUUUGGGUCAAUUUUGAGUCCAAUUUCAGGUCAUUUUGGGUCCAGUUUUGGGUCGAUUUAUGCCCAUUUCGGGUUGAGUUUUCGGGUCAGGUUCUGGUCCAUUUAUUGUCUGGGUUUAUUGGUGGUUCCGGAUGGUGUCGCGGAUCCAUGUUCGGCUCCAUUUCAGCUCCAAUUUCGGGUCAUUUUGUGUCCAUUUCAGCUCCAAUUUUGGGUCAUUUCAGGUCAUUUUGGGUCCAGUUUUGGGUCGAUUUGUGCCCAUUUUGGGUUGAGUUUUCGGGUCAGGUUCUGGUCCAUUUCCUGUCUGGGUUUAUCGGUGGUUCCGGAUGGUGUCGCGGAUCCAUUUCAGCUCCAAUUUCAGCUCCAGUUCCGGGUCGUUUUGGGUCAAUUUUGAGUCCAAUUUCGGGUCAUUUUGGGUCCAGUUUUGGGUCGAUUUAUGCCCAUUUCGGGUUGAGUUUUCGGGUCAGGUUCUGGUCCAUUGACUGUCUGGGUUUAUCGGUGGUUCCGGAUGGUGUCGCGGAUCCAUUGCGCGUACCGACACACCUUGGUGUACACCCCAGGCCGCCGGGGCUGCCCACAAAUCUCCAUCCCCCACGACACGAUGCCCUGUAGGGUCCCAUUGCAAACAAGGGGGCCGCCAGAGUCACCCUAAAAUGGGGGGAUAUGGGG